Molecule: ribosomal RNA, 600 nt
Filed under: Clostridiales bacterium AM23-16LB
Lineage: Bacteria; Bacillati; Bacillota; Clostridia; Eubacteriales
Description: bacterial SSU rRNA
Rfam family: Bacterial small subunit ribosomal RNA
Source: RNAcentral
UUUUACAAUGAAGAGUUUGAUCCUGGCUCAGGAUGAACGCUAGCUACAGGCUUAACACAUGCAAGUCGAGGGGCAGCGGGAUUGAAGCUUGCUUCAAUUGCCGGCGACCGGCGCACGGGUGAGUAACGCGUAUCCAACCUUCCGUACACUCAGGGAUAGCCUUUCGAAAGAAAGAUUAAUACCUGAUGGUAUGAUGAGAUUGCAUGAUAUCAUCAUUAAAGAUUUAUCGGUGUACGAUGGGGAUGCGUUCCAUUAGNNNNNNNNNNACGAUGGGGAUGCGUUCCAUUAGGUAGUAGGCGGGGUAACGGCCCACCUAGCCAACGAUGGAUAGGGGUUCUGAGAGGAAGGUCCCCCACAUUGGAACUGAGACACGGUCCAAACUCCUACGGGAGGCAGCAGUGAGGAAUAUUGGUCAAUGGACGAGAGUCUGAACCAGCCAAGUAGCGUGAAGGAUGAAGGUCCUACGGAUUGUAAACUUCUUUUAUAAGGGAAUAAACCCUCCCACGUGUGGGAGCUUGUAUGUACCUUAUGAAUAAGCAUCGGCUAACUCCGUGCCAGCAGCCGCGGUAAUACGGAGGAUGCGAGCGUUAUCCGGAUUUA